GAAGUUCCAAAUACUUAACCACAUAAGGUUUCGGAGCAUUUUCAAAAGUAAUCAAACAAAUGAAAUCACCUCCAACAUAAGUCAGGAAACAAAUUCGAAGUAGCAUCAAAUACACAAGAAAUCCAAACAUAGAAACAAAACUCUGUCCAUAUUUCUUGCUAUUUUCCAGUAAUACAGAAUUCAUGAGAACAAUAUCUUCCUUGCACAAUAGUAAUUUAGAAACUAA
Molecule: long non-coding RNA, 226 nt
Filed under: Linum usitatissimum (flax)
Lineage: Eukaryota; Viridiplantae; Streptophyta; Magnoliopsida; Malpighiales; Linaceae
Description: long non-coding RNA (LUSI_LNC000920)
Source: RNAcentral